RNAcentral lists this ribosomal RNA (500 nucleotides) under marine proteobacterium 'Bird Shoal 1-9'. RNAcentral describes it as "bacterial SSU rRNA". It matches the Rfam family "Bacterial small subunit ribosomal RNA", at positions 30 to 508 of the family's 1533-position model. The record is from RNAcentral. Lineage: Bacteria; Pseudomonadati; Pseudomonadota; Gammaproteobacteria; Vibrionales; Vibrionaceae.
AUUGAACGGUGGCGGCAGGCCUAACACAUGCAAGUCGAGCGGCAGCGACAACAUUGAACCUUCGGGGGAUUUGUUGGGCGGCGAGCGGCGGACGGGUGAGUAAUGCCUAGGAAAUUGCCAUGAUGUGGGGGAUAACCAUUGGAAACGAUGGCUAAUAUCGCAUGAUGCAUACGGGCCAAAGAGGGGGACCUUCGGGCUCUCGCGUCAGGAUAUGCCUAGGUGGGAUUAGCUAGUUGGUGAGGUAAGGGCUCACCAAGGCGACGAUCCUUAGCUGGUCUGAGAGGAUGAUCAGCCACAUUGGAACUGAGACACGGUCCAGAUUCCUACGGGAGGCAGCAGUGGGGAAUAUUGCACAAUGGGCGCAAGCCUGAUGCAUCCAUGCAGCGUGUGUGAAGAAGGCCUUCGGGUUGUAAAGCACUUUCAGUCGUGAGGAAGGUAGUGUAGUUAAUAGCUGCAUUAUUUGACGUUAGCGACAGAAGAAGCACCGGCUAACUCCGUGC